RNAcentral lists this long non-coding RNA (809 nucleotides) under Parus major (Great Tit). RNAcentral's name for it is "lncRNA (ENSPMJG00000003074.1)". Lineage: Eukaryota; Metazoa; Chordata; Aves; Passeriformes; Paridae. The record is from RNAcentral.
AUGGCUCUGGAAUGGCUCUCCGGCUGCUCCCGGGGUUUUUCCAUGGAUUUCUGGGAUUGCAGAGUUUGCCCAGGCUGAGGCGGCCGAGGUGGACAGCGGAGCUGCCAUGGACACGUCUGAGCCCACCAAGGUCAGAAUUCCCGCAAUUCCCGGAUCCUUCCGGCACCUCCCGACAUUCCCGACAUUCCCAUCCCGUCGUUCCCAUCGUUCCCAUCCCAUCAUUCCCAUCAUUUCCAUCAUUCCCAUCUCUUCAAUCCCAUCAAUCCCAUCAAUCCCAUCCCAUCAAUCCCAUCAUUCCCACCAAUCCCAUCAAUCCCAUCAUUCCCAUCCCAUCAUUCCCAUCAUUCCCAUCCCAUUCCCACCAUUCCCAGGACGGGAUCGAGCUCCUCCUCCAGCCCCGUCCAUCCCAAACCCCUCCCAGAUUCCCUGUUCUGGCUCCCGUGGGAUUUUUGGGAUCCCAAAUUCCCCUGGGAAUGAUCCCAAAUCCCCAGGAAUGAUCCCAAAUCCCUGGGAAUGAUCCCAAAUCCCCGGGAACGAUCCCAAUUCCCCGGGAACGAUCCCAAUUCCCCGGGAACGACCCCAAAUCCCCAGGAACGACCCCAAAUCCCCGGGAAUGACCCCAAAUCCCCAGGAACGACCCCAAAUUCCCGGGAACGAUCCCAAAUCCCCGGGGACGAUCCCAAAUCCCUGGGAACGAUCCCAAAUCCCCGGGGACGAUCCCAAAUCCCUGGGAACGAUCCCAAUUCCCCAGGAUGAUCCUAAAUCCUGAGGAACGAUCCCAAAUCCCCCCAGGAACGAUCCCAAAUCCC